This is a long non-coding RNA of Gossypium arboreum, 1298 nucleotides long. RefSeq lists it as uncharacterized. NCBI's taxonomy places the organism in Eukaryota, Viridiplantae, Streptophyta, Magnoliopsida, Malvales, Malvaceae. The record is from RefSeq and is a predicted model, not a curated record. The transcript is spliced from 4 exons.
AUUAUAGGAAAUUAAGGUUUUAGCAGCGUUUUUAGUGACGUUUGGGUGGAAAACGCCGCAAAUAUUAUACAUUAGUGGCGCGAACGAAAAAACGUCAUAAUAGGUAAAACAGUAGCGACGUUUAUGAGAAAAAUGCCGCAAAAGGUCAAGUGACGAGAAAAAUACUGUAAAAGGUAAGCAAUAGCAGCAAUUUUGAUAAAAACGCCGCAAAGUAUCAUUUUAUUUUAAAUGAAACCGUACCGUCUUGCUCUGCUUAGUUUUAUCCCUAAACCAUAACCCUGAAAUCAUUUAUUUUUCCCCUAAAAAUUAGAAUCCCCAAAUCCCUUAAUUUUUUCCCCAAAUCGAAAUCCCGAAAUCCCUUUGAUUUUCCCGGACCGUCUGAUGCAUUGCCGUCGACUGUCCCCUCUGCUGCAUCGUCGUCGACACUCCUUUGCCACAUUGCCGUUUUUUGUGGAAACUUUGGACAAAUGCUUCCAGAUGCUUCCAGAAUGUUUGCGAGCUUGACAUCAUGUUCAAUUAUAGCAAGCUUUUUUGCAGAUCUUGUUCUUCUAAUUUAGCUGCUCUUGAUUGAGAAGAUAGCUUUUUGGUGUGUUUGCUUAGCUCCAAUUCACAUUGUCUCGGGGCAGUUACUGGGUUCCAAGUUUUCUAUUUCUUUCUCUUUUUUUGUCAGACCGAAUUACGCAGGCCAAAGUUUGUAAAGGUAAUACCAGUGAAGUUCACCUUUAUAUUUAAAACUGUUGCUUUCUCUUUGGUUGAUAUUUGAUGCUUGGAAAUAUUGCGAUAUGCUAACCCACAUUUUAUCUGGUAGAUACUUUUAGAAUGGAGUUGAAUUUCAAUAGAUUGGUUAGUUGUAAACCUUUUUGUAUGCUUUGCCAUUUCAUGAAAUUGGAGAUGAGUGACAGCAUUUACAUUGAGCAUGCUAUUGUUUUUCUCUGGAUAUGCUACUUGCAAACUGUUAAAGCCUUUAUUGUCCUAUAUUUAAAGCCUUUAUUGUCCUAUACUUGUAAACUGUUUGCCUGAAUGUUUUGGGUAUGAAAACAUAAUACGAUAUACAUUAUAAUAAAUUUGGAUAGACAUAAUUAUGAGACUCAAAAUUAAUAGAAGAAUACAAUAAGUUGAGCCUUAAGUAUUUAUUGAGCUUUUUUAUAAGUUCAUGUGAUAGUGAUUUAAAAUACGCAAGUUUUAAGUUAAUAAAGAAGCUAUGGUUAACUAGGAGCAUUGAAUCACCACAAAGUGUCGAAAUUGUAUUUAAAAUGUUGUAAACUAUGAUUAGUUAUUGAUAUAUACAUAUUUUUAAA